This 1282-nucleotide ribosomal RNA is filed under the name Enterococcus faecium. Its description in RNAcentral is "partial 23S ribosomal RNA". It matches the Rfam family "Bacterial large subunit ribosomal RNA", at positions 1 to 1286 of the family's 2925-position model. Lineage: Bacteria; Bacillati; Bacillota; Bacilli; Lactobacillales; Enterococcaceae. The record is from RNAcentral.
GGUUAAGUGAAUAAGGGCGCACGGUGGAUGCCUUGGCACUAGGAGCCGAUGAAGGACGGGACUAACACCGAUAUGCUUUGGGGAGCUGUACGUAAGCUAUGAUCCAGAGAUUUCCGAAUGGGGGAACCCAACAUCUUUAAUAGGAUGUUACGAUUGUGUGAAUACAUAGCACAUUCGAGGUAGACGCAGAGAACUGAAACAUCUAAGUACCUGCAGGAAGAGAAAGAAAAUUCGAUUCCCUGAGUAGCGGCGAGCGAAACGGGAAAAGCCCAAACCAGCAAGCUUGCUUGUUGGGGUUGUAGGACUCCAAUAUGGUAGUUCUUUCAGAUAGUCGAAUGACUUGGAAAAGUCAGUCAAAGAGGGUAAAAACCCCGUAGACGAAAUGUGGAAGACACCUAGGAGGAUCCUGAGUACGGCGGAACACGAGAAAUUCCGUCGGAAUCCGGGAGGACCAUCUCCCAAGGCUAAAUACUCCCUAGUGACCGAUAGUGAACCAGUACCGUGAGGGAAAGGUGAAAAGCACCCCGGAAGGGGAGUGAAAUAGAACCUGAAACCGUGUGCCUACAACAAGUCAAAGCCCGUUAAUGGGUGAUGGCGUGCCUUUUGUAGAAUGAACCGGCGAGUUACGAUUGCAUGCGAGGUUAAGUUGAAGAGACGGAGCCGCAGCGAAAGCGAGUCUGAAUAGGGCGUUUGAGUAUGUAGUCGUAGACCCGAAACCAUGUGAUCUACCCAUGUCCAGGUUGAAGGUGCGGUAAAACGCACUGGAGGACCGAACCCACGUACGUUGAAAAGUGCGGGGAUGAGGUGUGGGUAGCGGAGAAAUUCCAAACGAACUUGGAGAUAGCUGGUUCUCUCCGAAAUAGCUUUAGGGCUAGCCUCGGAAUUGAGAAUGAUGGAGGUAGAGCACUGUUUGGACUAGGGGCCCAUCUCGGGUUACCGAAUUCAGAUAAACUCCGAAUGCCAUUCAUUCAUAUCCGGGAGUCAGACUGUGAGUGAUAAGAUCCAUAGUCGAAAGGGAAACAGCCCAGACCACCAGCUAAGGUCCCAAAAUAUAUGUUAAGUGGAAAAGGAUGUGGGGUUGCACAGACAACUAGGAUGUUGGCUUAGAAGCAGCCACCAUUUAAAGAGUGCGUAAUAGCUCACUAGUCGAGUGACCCUGCGCCGAAAAUGUACCGGGGCUAAACAUAUUACCGAAGCUGUGGAGUACACCUUUAGGUGUAUUGGUAGGAGAGCGUUCUAAGGGCGUUGAAGGCAGAUCGUGAGGACUGCUGGAGCGCUUAGA